RNAcentral lists this ribosomal RNA (492 nucleotides) under uncultured bacterium. Its description in RNAcentral is "partial 16S ribosomal RNA". It matches the Rfam family "Bacterial small subunit ribosomal RNA", at positions 29 to 507 of the family's 1533-position model. The record is from RNAcentral.
AGUGAACGCUGGCGGUAGGCCUAACACAUGCAAGUCGAACGGCAGCACAGUAAGAGCUUGCUCUUACGGGUGGCGAGUGGCGGACGGGUGAGGAAUACAUCGGAAUCUACUUUUUCGGGGGGGAUAACGUAGGGAAACUUACGCUAAUACCGCAUACGACCUACGGGUGAAAGCAGGGGAUCUUCGGACCUUGCGCGAUUGAAUGAGCCGAUGUCGGAUUAGCUAGUUGGCGGGGUAAAGGCCCACCAAGGCGACGAUCCGUAGCUGGUCUGAGAGGAUGAUCAGCCACACUGGAACUGAGACACGGUCCAGACUCCUACGGGAGGCAGCAGUGGGGAAUAUUGGACAAUGGGCGCAAGCAUGAUCCAGCCAUACCGCGUGGGUGAAGAAGGCCUCCGGGUUGUAAAGCCCUUUUGUUGGGAAAGAAAAGCAGCAGGUUAAUACCCCGCUGUUCUGACGGUACCCAAAGAAUAAGCACCGGCUAACUUCGUG